UCCGGCGCCUAAGGAUGAAUCUGCGGACUAUCAGGUAGUAGUCAGGGUAAAGGCCUGACUAGCCUACGACGGAUACGGGUUGUGAGAGCAAUAACCCGGAGACGAUAUCUGAGACACGAUAUCGGGCCCUACGGGGCGCAGCAGGCGCGAAAACUUCACACUGUGCGAAAGCACGAUGAGGGAAUCCCAAGUGCUUGCUCGUAAGAGUAAGCUGUUUUUAUGUAUAAAAAGCAUAGAGAGUAGGGGCUGGGUAAGACGGGUGCCAACCGCCGCGGUAAUACCUGCAGCUCAAGUGGUGACCACUAUUAUUGGGCCUAAAACGUUCGUAGCCGGUUUAUUACAUGCUUGGGUAAAUCGUGUAGCUUAACUAUACGAAUUCCGGGUAGACUGAU
This 392-nucleotide ribosomal RNA is filed under the name uncultured archaeon. RNAcentral's name for it is "bacterial SSU rRNA". It matches the Rfam family "Archaeal small subunit ribosomal RNA", at positions 195 to 588 of the family's 1478-position model. The record is from RNAcentral.